CGUAACAAGGUUUCCGUAGGUGAACCUGCGGAAGGAUCAUUACCUAGAGUUGUAGGCUUUGCCUGCUAUCUCUUACCCAUGUCUUUUGAGUACCUUCGUUUCCUCGGCGGGUCCGCCCGCCGAUUGGACAAUUUAAACCAUUUGCAGUUGCAAUCAGCGUCUGAAAAAACUUAAUAGUUACAACUUUCAACAACGGAUCUCUUGGUUCUGGCAUCGAUGAAGAACGCAGCGAAAUGCGAUAAGUAGUGUGAAUUGCAGAAUUCAGUGAAUCAUCGAAUCUUUGAACGCACAUUGCGCCCCUUGGUAUUCCAUGGGGCAUGCCUGUUCGAGCGUCAUUUGUACCUUCAAGCUCUGCUUGGUGUUGGGUGUUUGUCUCACCUCUGCGCGCAGACUCGCCUCAAAACAAUUGGCAGCCGGCGUAUUGAUUUCGGAGCGCAGUACAUCUCGCGCUUUGCACUCAUAACGACGACGUCCAAAAGUACAUUUUUACACUCUUGACCUCGGAUCAGGUAGGGAUACCCGCUGAACUUAAGCAUAUCA
RNAcentral lists this ribosomal RNA (540 nucleotides) under uncultured fungus. Its description in RNAcentral is "eukaryotic LSU rRNA". The stretch from base 182 to 335 matches the Rfam family "5.8S ribosomal RNA". The record is from RNAcentral. Lineage: Eukaryota; Fungi.